GACGAAGGGGGCUAGCGUUGUUCGGAAUUACUGGGCGUAAAGCGCGUGUAGGCGGUUGCCAUAGUCAGGUGUGAAAGCCUUGAGCUUAACUCAAGAAAUGCACUUGAUACUGGGCGACUAGAGGACCGGAGAGGAUAGUGGAAUUCCCAGUGUAGUGGUGAAAUUCGUAGAUAUUCGGAAGAACACCAGUGGCGAAGGCGGCUCACUGGCCCGGUACUGACGCUGAGGUGCGAAAGCGUGGGGAGCAAACAGG
RNAcentral lists this ribosomal RNA (253 nucleotides) under uncultured bacterium. RNAcentral's name for it is "partial 16S ribosomal RNA". It matches the Rfam family "Bacterial small subunit ribosomal RNA", at positions 524 to 776 of the family's 1533-position model. The record is from RNAcentral.